RNAcentral lists this ribosomal RNA (481 nucleotides) under uncultured bacterium. RNAcentral describes it as "bacterial SSU rRNA". It matches the Rfam family "Bacterial small subunit ribosomal RNA", at positions 30 to 502 of the family's 1533-position model. The record is from RNAcentral.
AUUGAACGCUGGCGGCAGGCUUAACACAUGCAAGUCGAGCGGUAACAUUUCUAGCUUGCUAGAAGAUGACGAGCGGCGGACGGGUGAGUAAUACUUAGGAAUCUACCUAGUAGUGGGGGAUAGCACGGGGAAACUCGUAUUAAUACCGCAUACGACCUACGGGAGAAAGGGGGCAACUUGUUGCUCUCGCUAUUAGAUGAGCCUAAGUCGGAUUAGCUAGAUGGUGGGGUAAAGGCCUACCAUGGCGACGAUCUGUAGCUGGUCUGAGAGGAUGAUCAGCCACACCGGAACUGAGACACGGUCCGGACUCCUACGGGAGGCAGCAGUGGGGAAUAUUGGACAAUGGGGGAAACCCUGAUCCAGCCAUGCCGCGUGUGUGAAGAAGGCCUUUUGGUUGUAAAGCACUUUAAGCAGUGAAGAAGACUCCGUGGUUAAUACCCAUGGACGAUGACAUUAGCUGCAGAAUAAGCACCGGCUAACU